GGCCAACAAUUUAGCUGGGUAUCCUAAUGCUCUAUGUCCCGGAAUCUCUGUUCAGUCUAUCUCACCAGAAUACCUUUGCAUCGGUGGAAUAUCAAGCGAUGUGUCUGAUCAUGGAACGUGUGGAGACUUCGCAGGCUGGGGUGGACGAGAGGAUGAUUCUAUAUUAACUCAUCAACCAUCUGGAUCCGCUCAUUCGCACAGGGAUUUGUUCUCGUCUUUACUCCUGUUUUAUCGUUGAUUGGAAAGCCUAACCAACUGUUUAGUUAGUAAGGAAGAAAACUGAAGAUUGAAAAUGAAAUGAACUGUAUUCAUCAAUAUUAUAAAAUGAUGAUUUUUUUGCUAUCAAAAUUACUUUUAUUACAAUGUAUCAUUGAUUGACCCAUAGGUUAUUUUUCUGAUCGUAUAGAACCUCCUUUAUUCGCCUUGUCAAUCGGUUAUAAAGAACGUUCAAUCGUACGUUAUGUUUUUUCAUAUUUUCAAUAGCUAUUUUUGUUUUAUUUAUGGCUCGUAACUCAAUGAAAUCGUUUAUUAUUAGCGAUUCGGGAAACAGGCACAAUGAAAUGAAAGCAAAUUCAAAAGUAUAUAUUUUUCAUGCGUUCGCCCAGAAUGGACAAAAUAACCGUGAAAUGACCAUUCGAUCUUUUUGCUCUUAAGUGGGCGUGCUUGACCUAUCGUUUAGACCAAAUUCUCUCACAAAACUAUUUGACGUCAAAACAUUUUCACAUUCAAUUUUUGGUUUAUUAAUUUUGUUUAUUCUUCAUUACAUGAUUUAGCAAUAACCAGACAAAAAUUUUUGAUAUAUGGGGUGUCCAUAAAGUUAUAAAAUUUUUUUAAAAUUGCAAAGGGAAUUUAUCGAUACCAUACAUUGUUUUGGCUCUCGCAGAUGUAUUGAAUGAAGUAAAAAUACUUAUAAAAAUACUUGUUGAAAAACAACAGAUCUGGUUAAGAUAUAUUGAGAACUGACUCCAUAACAAAAUUGAAAGUGUAAAGAAAUUUUAUGGACACUCGUAUAUUUCAUUGUAUUUUAUUAAAUAAUUGUUAAUUAAUAAUGGGCAGCUCCACAGUUCUAUCACCUCAAUAAUUUGUGUCUUUAUUGUUUUUUAGUGAUUUUAAUUGUAUUAUUGUUUUUCAUUGUUAAAAAUAAUUCCCAAAUUUUUUUCUUCGACUAUUAAAACUCAAUGAACUUUUGAGGUGAAACUUUAGGUUUUAGAGAUGCACACCGAGUCACGUGUGAAGAUUGUGUGCCCAAAGUUUGUGAAAGUUUCAGACUAUAGUUAUGAUUUAUUAUUUAAUGAUACGUUUUUUCACGGAGAUCUCAGAUCUUGCCUAGCCUCGGGUUUAGAAAUUUGGUUGGUAAUGUCGAACUGUUAAAAUACCUUUUCAAAAUUUGUAACACUUCAUUUAUCUCUUGUGCUAAGUGAAAGUGUGGAAAUUCCUCAUGAAAAUUUGAUUAUUACAUAUCAUGAUUGCUUCUUUAAGAAUAUUUAAAUAAUUGAAUCCGCUUUUUAUUAGCGCAUGUCUUUACAAUGUAUGCCUGUCUGCCAUCUGAGAAUCUUCAUUAAUAAUAUCUGAUGCACUGUGUUUUUUUAUCAAGUUUUUCGAAUCAUAGUUUUCUCUUGUCACUGGAAAA
This is a non-coding RNA of Styela clava, 1630 nucleotides long. NCBI's taxonomy places the organism in Eukaryota, Metazoa, Chordata, Ascidiacea, Stolidobranchia, Styelidae. The record is from RefSeq and is a predicted model, not a curated record.